RNAcentral lists this ribosomal RNA (431 nucleotides) under uncultured Sphingobacteriales bacterium. RNAcentral's name for it is "bacterial SSU rRNA". It matches the Rfam family "Bacterial small subunit ribosomal RNA", at positions 948 to 1382 of the family's 1533-position model. Lineage: Bacteria; Pseudomonadati; Bacteroidota; Sphingobacteriia; Sphingobacteriales. The record is from RNAcentral.
AAUUCGAUGAUACGCGAGGAACCUUACCUGGGCUCAAAUGUAUGUUGACGUAUUCUGAAAGGGAUACUUCUUCGGACAAUAUACAAGGUGCUGCAUGGUUGUCGUCAGCUCGUGCCGUGAGGUGUCGGGUUAAGUCCCAUAACGAGCGCAACCCCUAUCAUUAGUUGCCAUCAGGUCAAGCUGGGGACUCUAAUGAAACUGCCUACGCAAGUAGUGAGGAAGGUGGGGAUGACGUCAAAUCAGCACGGCCCUUACGUCCAGGGCUACACACGUGCUACAAUGGCCGGUACAAAGGGCAGCUACCUGGUGACAGGAUGCUAAUCUCAAAAGCCGGUCUCAGUUCGGAUCGGAGUCUGCAACCCGACUCCGUGAAGUUGGAAUCGCUAGUAAUCGUGGAUCAGCAUGCCACGGUGAAUACGUUCCCGGGCCUU